Molecule: transfer-messenger RNA, 339 nt
Filed under: Lachnospiraceae bacterium
Lineage: Bacteria; Bacillati; Bacillota; Clostridia; Lachnospirales; Lachnospiraceae
Rfam family: transfer-messenger RNA
About the family: Bacterial tmRNA, also known as 10Sa RNA or SsrA, is named for its dual tRNA and mRNA-like properties.
Source: RNAcentral
GGGGAUGUAAAGGCUUCGACAGGGGCUUUGAAUAUGGUGAAGCUAUUCGUAUGCAAUGCGUUAAAUGGCAAAAUUAAAUAUAAACGCUGAAGAAAAUUUAGCAAUCGCUGCCUAGUUGCAGCUGUCUUAACUAGGACUCCUACAUCUUAGAUUAAGGCAUCGACUUAGUAGGGAACAUUAUCUGCAAAGCUUUGAGCAGGUAAUAGAUUUAUGAAGCUACCAAAUCCCGGAGAAUGUCAGUUUUCGCCGGGGUAAGGGAAUUAAUAAUAACUGACUAUAAUAGUAGAAGAACAUUGGAUGGGCUUUUGGACACGGGUUCGACUCCCGUCAUCUCCAUUU